UCUCUGGUGGCUCAGACGGUAAAGCGUCUGCCUGCAGUGCAGGAGACCUGGGUUCGAUCCCUAAGUCAGGAUG
This is a non-coding RNA of Ovis aries (sheep), 73 nucleotides long. NCBI's taxonomy places the organism in Eukaryota, Metazoa, Chordata, Mammalia, Artiodactyla, Bovidae. The record is from Rfam.